This 71-nucleotide transfer RNA is filed under the name Mixia osmundae IAM 14324. It matches the Rfam family "tRNA". Rfam says of the family: Transfer RNA (tRNA) molecules are approximately 80 nucleotides in length. Their secondary structure includes four short double-helical elements and three loops (D, anti-codon, and T loops). The record is from Rfam by way of RNAcentral. Lineage: Eukaryota; Fungi; Basidiomycota; Mixiomycetes; Mixiales; Mixiaceae.
GCAUCUAUAGUAUAAUGGUAGUACAGUUCACUUCGGAUGUUCUAACAUUGGUUCAAAUCCAAUUGGAUGCU